CUGUUUUAGAGCACUCUAUAAAAUGGAUUAUUAUCACAAAUGAUAUAUAAUCAAUCUCCAGGGCCCAGGACAGCCCUUGGAGAUUUCUUUACAGGUACAAGAAUCUCUUCUCUUUCCCAUUCUUUUCUAGGGAGUUUUUUUUUUCCAGUGGGAGCCUCUGCACCUCGGGGACAGAGUGGAGCCAAAUGUCCAGCGUGGUUCGCAGUCCUGUCUGCUCCCUCCCACUUGUCCCUCCACAGGGAAAUCCCAGUGUAUUUUUAGGGAGCCUCAUUGCUGCCGCCUGGCUUCCCCUCCAGGGCCAGCCUGGGAAAGCUCUCGGAACACAGGCCUAGGCUGCUGCAGAGACGGGCCUGAGCCCUUCUCCUCUCUGACCCUGGGCUUUGUCCCCAGAAGGGCUGACCAGGGUAGGAGGCCCAGGGGCUGAGAUGGCCAGAAAGACAAAAGGGUUAAUUAUCUGAACAGUCUUUGGACUUUGGCACACUCAAAAGAGAAAGAAGAUCUGCAAAUCAUUAAGCCAGGGAAUGGCCUUCACGAAAGAAGCAUCUGUGGGCCCGGGGCAGACGGUAUGCAGGUGCCCCCUCCGUGCAUCCGUGUGGCCUGGGCGUCGGUGGGUCAGAGAACCGGAGCAGAAGUGGCCAAGGGCUCCAGGGCCAGGAGGACGCCCGCAGGGAGCCUGCGAGUCGGUCUGGGUGGGGGGGGGGGGGGGGGGCGGGGGCGGGGGGGGCGGGGGACAGGCGCGCGGCGGUCCCCCACCCCUGUCGUCUCUACGGCUCUCCGCACGUUUUCAAAUGCUAGUGUUGGCAGUGUCCUUGAAGGGAUUGAAAGAACUCAGAACACCACCAAACAAGUCAGGGUAAUGAUGGCACUCAGUGCGACAGGGCACGUGUUCCGGAGUCCGGGAAAGCAUCUGCUGUCGUCUCCUGCCCCCCCGAUUUGUCGCCCGGGGCAAAGCCGCGUCCCGGAGCCUUCCCGCCCUGGUCA
Molecule: long non-coding RNA, 981 nt
Filed under: Equus asinus (donkey)
Lineage: Eukaryota; Metazoa; Chordata; Mammalia; Perissodactyla; Equidae
Description: lncRNA (ENSEASG00005026060.1)
Source: RNAcentral